This is a non-coding RNA of Tulasnella sp. 417, 89 nucleotides long. The record is from the annotation of a GenBank genome assembly. NCBI's taxonomy places the organism in Eukaryota, Fungi, Basidiomycota, Agaricomycetes, Cantharellales, Tulasnellaceae.
CCCUUUGUAGCUCAGCUGGAAGAGCGUGGGACUGUAAUGGGCAUCACGUGAUCAUCCCAAGGCCAUCGGUUCGAUCCCGAUCGAAGGGA